This 96-nucleotide ribosomal RNA is filed under the name Enterobacter cloacae subsp. dissolvens. RNAcentral describes it as "partial 23S ribosomal RNA". The stretch from base 1 to 83 matches the Rfam family "Bacterial large subunit ribosomal RNA", at positions 2843 to 2925 of the family's 2925-position model. The record is from RNAcentral. Lineage: Bacteria; Pseudomonadati; Pseudomonadota; Gammaproteobacteria; Enterobacterales; Enterobacteriaceae.
GACGACGACGUUGAUAGGUCGGGUGUGUAAGCGCAGCGAUGCGUUGAGCUAACCGAUACUAAUGAACCGUGAGGCUUAACCUUACAACGCCGAAGC